UUCUUGUUGCCAUUAAAAUGUUUGUGGGUUUAUCAUAUUUGAUUUUCUUUAAAUUAAUUUAUCGUUGUUUUGAAAUUGUAAUUUGUAGUUCCAAGAUCGAAUUUAUGCCAAAAAUAAUCAACGCAAAAAUCAAGAUUUUCUCAAAAUAAAAAAGAAAAUAAGAACACGAGAGAUUUUUCGGCCAAAAGGCCUCGGAGGUUUAGUGAUCGCUUCUAACGCUUAGUCUCCCAUUGAGCAUCCAUAAAGGAUUAAGCUCAAAUCCACUAAAUCGGCAAAAAUAGGCAAAGAUCAAGUUACAGAACACAAAAUUCACAAAUCACAAAUACAACAUAAUCUUCCCACAGUAGAACUCACACAAGAGUUUCUCUAACGAUUCUCCCAAAAUCACACUAAGUAUUGUCAGAGAAAUCAAAAGAUUCGGACGAAGAAGAUGAAAGGCACGUAGCCAAGAAAAGCCUCAGAAUACUAAUCGUUAACCCUAAAAAAUCUG
This 490-nucleotide long non-coding RNA is filed under the name Olea europaea subsp. europaea. Lineage: Eukaryota; Viridiplantae; Streptophyta; Magnoliopsida; Lamiales; Oleaceae. The record is from RNAcentral.